AUGCAACCUUCGGAGUCGCACAAGGAGGCAAAACUGGAGGUGCAGCACUACCAACCUGAGCUGCUGAGGGCAGCUCGGAUGGGCCUUCUGCACCAACUACGUGAUAUUCUGGGCAGUGACAAUACAACUAUCACACCGGUUGUGUUGGAGCCUGUAGUCAUGAUCGACAUUGAGAGGGUCGACAUCGACGUUGAAAGGGUGGACACCCUGGAGAUGGACUCGAUCCUCCAUGUCGUUGCGGCGAGCGGCGAUGAAGAGAACUUCUUGGAGUGCGCAAGCGUGAUUCACGAGAAGGCCAAGCACCUCCUGGACGCAGGCAAUAGCAAGGGUGAUACGCCCUUUCAUUGCGCUGCAAGAGCUGGCGGGGUGGAGAUGCUCUCUCGUCUCAUCCAUCUGGCAAGAGCCGACGGCGGGCAUGCAAGGGUGACGGAUGUGCUGAGAAAGCAGAACAAGAAAGGCGAGACGGCCCUUCAUGAGGCCCUCCGCUUGGCCAACAAGAAAACUAUGAAGGAAAUGGUUAAAAAGUUAAUGGAGGUGGAUCCAGAAUUGGCUUGCAUUCCGCAUUGCGACGCUACAUCGCCCUUGUACCUGGCCGUCUCACUAGGACAUGAUGAUAUUGCAGUCUUUUUGCAUUCGGAGAACGAGAAGCUGUCCUACUCUGGACCAUAUGGACAAAACGUCUUGCAUGUCGCCGUGCUUAGGGGCAAAGAGAUUACAAAGAAGUUACUGGACUGGAACAAGGCCCUCACCAAACAAGCGGACCAAUUGACUGGAAGUACGCCUCUUCAUAUUGCCAUAUCAUGGGGGAGUCAAAGCAAGGAGGUGAUCAAACUACUACUGCACUGUGACGAAUCUGCAGCAUUUCAAAGCGACAAUAGUGGGUCGUUCCCUAUACAUGUGGCAGCAACGCGAAGUUCAUGGUCUACACUUCCCGUGUUGCUGGACACGGUGCCCACAUGCGCAGGACUGCGUGAUGGUAAUGGCCAGACCUUCCUACAUGUUGGUAUUGCGAAGGAGCACCCUCUUGUGGUCGGAAGUUGGUACCAUCACAUACCAUUUGCACCAAUUAUGAACGUGCAAGACAAUCAUGGGAACAGUCCACUCCAUCUUGCUGCCAUAGUCGGGAACCAGUGGAUUUUCUAUCUUCUAAUUCAGAACCCGCAAGUUCAGCUGGAUUUAGUGAACAACAUAGGCCAAACACCGCUAGAUAUUGCAUGGACGAAGAUGCCACAAGGCCUUAAUUUCAUGCUGAACCCACGAAAUAGGAUAUACCUACUACUUAAAGGUGCAGGAGCUAAAACUGCUGCAUACCGCUGUGAUUGGUUCCUCAAAGAACAUAUCCCGCCAAUAGAAAUUAAAGUGGAAGAAAAGAAGAUCUCAGAUUCCACGCAGAUUAUUGGCAUUGGGUCAGUGCUAAUUGUUACGGUAGCUUUCGCAGCAGCUUUCACCUUGCCAGGCGGCUUCCGAACAGACGACUUGAAGGGUAAGCGUGGAACAGCUGGAAUAGCUAUGCUUGCCGGAAAACCAGUCUUUCACGCGUUCAUCAUCGCCAACACACUGGCGCUCGUUUCCUCAGCUCUAGCUACCAUGAACGUCAUGUACGCUGGGGUGACCGCAGUCGACAUACGCACGCGCAUGACCUCCUUCAUCAUCUCCAUCGUCUUUGUCUACUGCUCGGCCAAGUCCUUGGCUGCCGCAUUUGUGUUUGGACUCUACGUGGUACUAGAGCCGGCUGCCCCCAAAAUAGCUUAUAUUUCAUGUGCUAUCGUAUCUCCUUUCCUUUUUCUCGAUGUUGUCUGGUUUAUCUUCAUGGUAGCUAUUGGGGAAGUAAUGCUACUCAAAAGGCUAGGUUUCAAGGCAUGGCUUCGCAAUUUCAACUUCUCUCGACUACCAGUAAAACAACCUACAGUUUUGGGAUAG
RNAcentral lists this ribosomal RNA (1920 nucleotides) under Triticum aestivum (bread wheat). RNAcentral's name for it is "partial small subunit ribosomal RNA". The record is from RNAcentral. Lineage: Eukaryota; Viridiplantae; Streptophyta; Magnoliopsida; Poales; Poaceae.